ACUAUCCUACGGGGGGCAGCAGUGGGGAAUAUUGGGCAAUGGGCGCAAGCCUGACCCAGCAACGCCGCGUGAAGGAAGAAGGCCCUCGGGUUGUAAACUUCUUUUAUCAGGGACGAAACAAAUGACGGUACCUGAUGAAUAAGCCACGGCUAACUACGUGCCAGCAGCCGCGGUAAUACGUAGGUGGCAAGCGUUAUCCGGAUUUACUGGGUGUAAAGGGCGUGUAGGCGGGGCUGCAAGUCAGAUGUGGAAUUUCAUGGCUCAACCAUGGAACUGCAUUUGAAACCGUAGAUCUUGAGUGAUGG
This 305-nucleotide ribosomal RNA is filed under the name uncultured bacterium. RNAcentral's name for it is "bacterial SSU rRNA". It matches the Rfam family "Bacterial small subunit ribosomal RNA", at positions 333 to 652 of the family's 1533-position model. The record is from RNAcentral.